CCCAAGCUGAUGCCUUGUUCAGAAAAAUGAAAGAAGAUGGGCCUCUUCCAG
This 51-nucleotide small RNA is filed under the name Arabidopsis thaliana (thale cress). RNAcentral describes it as "ATSL063300". Lineage: Eukaryota; Viridiplantae; Streptophyta; Magnoliopsida; Brassicales; Brassicaceae. The record is from RNAcentral.